UUAAUAGAACCAAUAUUUUACGCAUUGUAUUUGUAAAGUAAAACUGGUCCCAUCGAAUCCGCUUCAGACAACCUGAGAAAGCACAAGUGCAUAACGCCAGAUACUAGGAUACCAAAGGGGUUUCCAGCUGAGGUCCUUGAGCAUUUGAGAUACACUUGCGUCCCUUUUGUAGAAGCGUUGAACAAAUCGGGCACAAAAGAAUUCUUGUGUUUUGUCACCUCUUUUAGCAAGUACCUCUACCUUCCAAGACAUAUUCGAUACUAGAAUCAACUUCACCAAACAGUAUAUCAAUUGCUGUCUGAGAACAUUUAAAUUAAACAAGUUUGUUUGCUCAUCUGGUUGACGCACAAAAAAUAUAACAUGAAUGACACCGACAUGACGGAUAUAAACACUUAUUCUAGUUCUUUCGAUUAUGGUUAUCUUUAUUCAAAUACGAACUUCGUCAGAGCCGGAAUGGCUAGUGCCUAUUUAACGAUAAUAAUUUGCGUUGCAGCCAUUUUUGAAAACGCAUUCGUAAUCUUCACUGUCUGUUGCGUCCCGAACCUAAGGAAAAAGUCAAGUGUUUUGAUAGUUAAUCUUGCAGUCGUCGAUUUGAUAAGUGGGUGUCUUAACUUCACUAUUAUAGUUCUGGUCCUAUCAACUAUCGAGUACAUUGAGAAUGCAAUUUAUAUUU
This is a long non-coding RNA of Anneissia japonica, 673 nucleotides long. RefSeq lists it as uncharacterized. Lineage: Eukaryota; Metazoa; Echinodermata; Crinoidea; Comatulida; Comatulidae. The record is from RefSeq and is a predicted model, not a curated record. The transcript is spliced from 3 exons.